This 305-nucleotide ribosomal RNA is filed under the name uncultured bacterium. RNAcentral's name for it is "bacterial SSU rRNA". It matches the Rfam family "Bacterial small subunit ribosomal RNA", at positions 338 to 640 of the family's 1533-position model. The record is from RNAcentral.
CCUACGGGGGGCAGCAGUGAGGAAUAUUGGUCAAUGGGCGCGAGCCUGAACCAGCCAAGUAGCGUGAAGGAUGACGGCCCUAUGGGUUGUAAACUUCUUUUAUAUGGGAAUAAAGUUUGGUAUGCAUACCAUUUUGUAUGUACCAUAUGAAUAAGGAUCGGCUAACUCCGUGCCAGCAGCCGCGGUAAUACGGAGGAUCCGAGCGUUAUCCGGAUUUAUUGGGUUUAAAGGGAGCGUAGGUGGAUUGUUAAGUCAGUUGUGAAAGUUUGCGGCUCAACCGUAAAAUUGCAGUUGAAACUGGCAGU